GACGAACGCUGGCGGCGCGCUUAACACAUGCAAGUCGAGCGGAAAGGCCUGCUUUCCCUUGUGGAUUGCGGGUACUCGAGUGGCGAACGGGUGAGUAACACGUGAGUGAUCUGCCCCCAACUUGGGUAUAAGCCUGGGAAACUGGGUCUAAUUCCCGAUAGGACUGCAGGGUGGUGCCUGUGGUGGAAAACGAUUUUCUAGUGGUUGGGGAUGAGCUCGCGGCCUAUCAGCUUGUUGGUGGGGUAAUGGCCUACCAAGGCGGCGACGGGUAGCCGGCCUGAGAGGGUGGACGGCCACAUUGGGACUGAGAUACGGCCCAGACUCCUACGGGAGGCAGCAGUGGGGAAUAUUGCACAAUGGGCGGAAGCCUGAUGCAGCGACGCCGCGUGGGGGAUGACGGCCUUCGGGUUGUAAACUCCUUUCGACCGCGAGGAAGCUACCUGGUUGGAAGGGUGGUGACGGUAGUGGUAGAAGAAGCACCGGCUAACUACGUG
Molecule: ribosomal RNA, 494 nt
Filed under: uncultured bacterium
Lineage: Bacteria
Description: partial 16S ribosomal RNA
Rfam family: Bacterial small subunit ribosomal RNA
Source: RNAcentral